AGUGAACGCUGGCGGUAGGCCUAACACAUGCAAGUCGAACGGCAGCACAGGAGAGCUUGCUCUCUGGGUGGCGAGUGGCGGACGGGUGAGGAAUACAUCGGAAUCUACUCUGUCGUGGGGGAUAACGUAGGGAAACUUACGCUAAUACCGCAUACGACCUACGGGUGAAAGCAGGGGACCUUCGGGCCUUGCGCGAUUGAAUGAGCCGAUGUCGGAUUAGCUAGUUGGCGGGGUAAAGGCCCACCAAGGCGACGAUCCGUAACUGGUCUGAGAGGAUGAUCAGUCACACCGGAACUGAGACACGGUCCGGACUCCUACGGGAGGCAGCAGUGGGGAAUAUUGGACAAUGGGCGCAAGCCUGAUCCAGCCAUGCCGCGUGUGUGAAGAAGGUCUUCGGAUUGUAAAGCACUUUAAGUCGGGAGGAAGGGCUGUAGGUUAAUACCCUGCGGUUUUGACGUUACCGACAGAAUAAGCACCGGCUAACUUCGUGCCAGCCGCCGCUGUAA
Molecule: ribosomal RNA, 506 nt
Filed under: uncultured bacterium
Lineage: Bacteria
Description: partial 16S ribosomal RNA
Rfam family: Bacterial small subunit ribosomal RNA
Source: RNAcentral